CUUUCCUAAAGGAUAUAGAUUUCUCUCUUCUUUGGCUCCAAUAAUUUGUGCCCAAACUUCAGACCAGUAAUUCCCCAGAUGAGCCUGCUGCUACCCUACUUGCGUCUUACUUUUGCAAGCUGUUUCCAUUCUUAUUAGGCUAAUAACUGAAGACAGGAUCAAGAUAUCUUUCUAACCUAUCCAAAAUACCUGAAUAUUCUGUCACAUUCAACAAUUUACAGUGAAGAAGAAGAAUCAAGUGUACAUCCCAAUCUGAAUUACUGCAUUCAAAGAAAAAUUACCACUGCUAGCCACUCUACAAGAAUAGCACAGGAUUGGUGGAAGCACGGUGACAUUAGAACGCAUCAUAAACAUAUCUGUAGCAUGGGACAAUUGACCUGCCUAGAAGACGACUGGGCCAGGAGCAUGACAUAAUUUCAAGUCAGUUGAAGAAAAUAGAAAAGGAACUGCUGAGUAGACGUACUGGUCCAAGAACAGUGAAAGACAUGUAAAGCAGAUGUAACCCCAAACAACAGCUGAAGAAGAGUUGCCCAACUCCGCCAGCCUAGAUCAAACUGCAGUCAAAUGUACACCCUUGAGCAUGGGAAUAAAUUCAUGUUUUUGUAAAUCAAAAAAAAAAAAAAA
This 624-nucleotide long non-coding RNA is filed under the name Homo sapiens (human). RNAcentral describes it as "NREP antisense RNA 1 (NREP-AS1)". The record is from RNAcentral. Lineage: Eukaryota; Metazoa; Chordata; Mammalia; Primates; Hominidae.